UUCUUAAUUUAUUUAAUCACAUUCGGCUUCUUCAGCAAUCACAAUACAUUCAGCUUCGAAGUACUGAAAUAGAAUAAACAUCACACAAAAUAUUGAAUAUCACAUUUCAUACAAAAAUCUCAGUCUUUUUCUUUAUUUAUAAAACAUGUAUACAUAAUCUAAAUGUAUUUAAUACAGUAAAUUUCCUGGCAAAAUAUUCACUGAGAAGAAGGAAAACACGUGUUAAGAGACAUAUUAAUUCUGUCCAAUAUAUUAUUCAAAUGUUUAUUUUACCACAAAAACACACACAGGGGAGAGUUUCUGCUUCUAAAAUGGAGUGAAGGUCUAAAACUGCACAACCUGUAAUCCUGUAUUUCUCUCUCUCUCUCUCUCUCCCUCUCUCUCUGUCCCUCUCCCUCUCUCUCUGUCCAUCUCCCUCCUGUUUUCCAGUACCGUUUGUGACACGCCCUCAUUGACUUCCCCUCAGCAAGACACCACAUCGCUGACAUCACAUACAAGUGGCCCCUUGCAGCAGCAGUGAAGCAGGGUAUUGUUCUGAUACUUUUCACUUCAAAUGAUUUAUUUUCAAUAAAGAAUCAGGAAGAUGCAGGCAACCACGGGCGCACGCAGGCUGUCUGAGGAGCAGGGGCAAAAAAAAAAAGAAGAAAAAUUUCAAAAGGGCAGGAACAUCUAGAGGGCACUUCAUCUCAUUUUGUUGCAUGUAUAGGAGCCUAUAGGGCAUGUCAUCUAAUUUUGUCACAUUUAGGGGAGCCUAAAAAUUAGAGACGCCAGUUGUAGCUCAGUGGUUUAGAUGUUGGACGGUUGUGAAGGCCGUGAGUUCAAAUCUAAGCACUGCCACUGCUGGGCCUUUGAGCAAGGCCCGGUGUUAUAUAAAUGGGAUAAAUGUAAGUCGUUCUGCAUAAGAGCAUCUGCCAAAUGCUGGAAAUGAAACAUAAUUAUAUGGGGCACUUCAUGUUAUUUUGUCACAUGUAGGGGAGCCUAUAGGGCACUGUGAGUCAUUUUCUCCAUAGGGAGUUCACCAUAGAAGGCAUUGCAUUGUAUUUUCUUGCGGAUAGGGGCACCUUAUCACAGGGGCAUUUUAUUGUUUUAUCCAGCAUAGGGUACCGUUUUAUCUGCCAUAGUUGCACCCUAGUGGGCAUUUUCACUGUCUUUUUUUGACCACAGCUAUCACCAGAAACUAUUACUUGACGUGUGAUAUAGACUGAGUAGUUGGCUAUAUAAAAACCAAUUUCAGCAGCAAAUCAAAUAAAUUGUUAUUUUACUGCUAUCCUAUUGAUAUCCAAUUUUAAAUGGAGUUUUGUGGGGAAGACGUGUUGACUCGUGUCGAUUCGAUCUCUCCGGAAUUCAAGAGCUCGUUUAACAACUCUCAGAGAAAUAAUGAGGGGAAGUGAUGAAGGCCAGUACUGGAACACAGCCAUACCACUCUUUUGUCACUCUUUCUCUUCUCAUA
Long non-coding RNA from Ictalurus punctatus (channel catfish), 1450 nucleotides. The record is from Ensembl. Lineage: Eukaryota; Metazoa; Chordata; Actinopteri; Siluriformes; Ictaluridae.